This is an RNA transcript of Scatophagus argus, 1540 nucleotides long. It is a transcript of the gene named serine and arginine rich splicing factor 1b, with no coding region annotated. Lineage: Eukaryota; Metazoa; Chordata; Actinopteri; Scatophagidae. The transcript is spliced from 5 exons. The record is from RefSeq and is a predicted model, not a curated record.
GUUUGUGAGACAUCACAAUCGUGAAGAAAACCGCGUUGUUGAGGGAAUGCUGCGAAUCGCAUGGUCGUAGUUUUCAAGUUUUAGCUCUUGUUAAUUUGAUUGUUGUGAAAUCCACUCUGAAAGUUUUCAGCUGUUUCAGCUAUAGCUAAAAAGUUAACGUGUAAUUCGCCGAUAGGAUUUAACACAAGGCACUACCGAAGCGUCUUUAAUCUUUUGUUUGGCUGAAGGGGACCUGUUAGCCAGCUUGCUAAUUCCCGUAACCGUUAUUGUUAGCUAGUUUUGUGCUAACAUGUCUGCCGGUGUAGUUCGAGGACCAGCAGGGAGUAACGACUGUCGGAUAUACGUAGGAAAUCUCCCACCUGACAUCCGCUCAAAGGACAUUGAAGAUUUGUUUUACAAAUAUGGAGCAAUUCGUGAUAUUGAUCUGAAAAACCGAAGAGGAGGGCCACCGUUUGCCUUCGUGGAGUUCGAGGACCCGAGGGAUUCUGAGGAUGCUGUUUAUGGGCGUGAUGGUUAUGACUAUGAUGGCUACCGCCUGCGUGUUGAGUUUCCUAGAAGUGGAAGGGGAGGUGGUGGUGGUGGUGGUGGUGGAGGAGGAAUGGGACCUCCAAGGACCAGGUAUGGUCCUCCCUCCAGACGCUCAGAGUACAGGGUUGUUGUGUCAGGUCUUCCCCCAAGUGGAAGCUGGCAGGACCUAAAGGAUCACAUGCGAGAGGCAGGUGAUGUAUGUUAUGCUGAUGUUUACCGCGAUGGCACCGGAGUGGUGGAGUUCGUACGCAAAGAAGACAUGACCUACGCUGUCCGUAAACUGGAUAACACUAAGUUUCGCUCUCACGAGGGAGAAACAGCCUACAUUCGUGUGAAGAUGGACGGUCCUCGCAGCCCCAGCUAUGGUCGUUCCCGCUCUCGUAGCCGCAGCCGGAGCAAGAGCAGGUCACGCAGCUACUCCCCUCGUCGCAGCAAAGGAUCUCCACGUUACUCCCCUCGACGUUCCCGCUCCCGCUCUCGCUCGCGCACUUAGAUUCGCCAAAACUAAAGCAGUGGUGUACCUCAGAGCCAGAGAGGACAUCUUCAGAUCACUCAACAAAUCUGUAAACCCUCCAUGGAAAAUCUCACGUGUUACCUGUUUAUGCUGUCUCGGUGUGUUCCCUAUUCCCAAAUUUAUUUAUUUUUUCCCAGUUUUCUUUUUAGCUUUUAUUUUUACAGAUGACCCUGUCAUUCUUCCUUUUUCCCUCUCCUCAUCACUGUUUUUCCUAACCAUCUCUGCACCUUCUCUAUACUUUCCUUCUACUGAUUUUCCUUGUAUGCUUUAUGUUUUGCUUCAUUUGGAAAGAUUCUACUUUUUAAGCAUAUGCUGCUGUCCUUUGACCUUCUUGUGUGUCUCUCUGUAGAGUUCAGAGGAACAGGAUAGGAUGGGAAGAGAGGAAUCAGUUCAUAUUAGGAUAAACAGGAGGAGGAGGAGUCAUAAAUGGCACCAAUGGUUUGGACUGGGCUCAUUGUCUCCCCAUUCCGGAACCGGAUCAGAUCAGGAUCAGGAAUU